This is a non-coding RNA of Plectropomus leopardus (leopard coralgrouper), 353 nucleotides long. NCBI's taxonomy places the organism in Eukaryota, Metazoa, Chordata, Actinopteri, Perciformes, Serranidae. The record is from RefSeq and is a predicted model, not a curated record.
UUUUGUGUAUGGUUUCAGGGUGAGGACGAGGAUAGCAGGGAGGAGACGGAGGGAGAGGAGGGCGGAGUCACCUUCAUUGCACACGUACCUGUCCCCUCCCAGAGACAAGUGGAGGAGGCUCUGGUCAGGAGGAAGAAGAUGGAGUUGUUACAGCGAUACGCCAGCGAGAGUCUUCAGGCUCAGAGUCAGGCGGCCAGGACUCUGCUGGGACUCUGACCUGUCCCCCCUGCCUGGGACCUGUCCCCCCUGCCUGGGACCUGUCCCCCCUGCCUGGGACCUGUCCCACCUGUGUUGAUGUAAAUAUGGCUCCUUUUUGUACUGGACGUGUUUCUUAUUAAAGUGUCUUCAGCCCA